UUGGGGGAUUUUAAUGAAAUUUUAUAUUCCUCGGAAAAAGAGGGCGGUAAUGCGAGACCAAAUGGAAUGAUGAGGGAUUUUCGUGAAUGCCUUAUGGACUGUGGGCUGGAGGACUUAGGUUACAUGGGCAAUCCUUUUACUUGGAGUAGAGGUGAAAUUCGAGAGCGUCUUGAUCGGGCAGUUUGCAAUGUGGGGUGGGCACAUAAAUUUCCUCGUGCGGCGGUGAUUAAUGAAGAACAUGUUCAUUCUGAUCAUCGGUCGCUGGUCUUGGACAUGGAUUAUUUGGAUGACAAUAUUUUCAGACGACCAGAGGGGCGCGUGAAGCAAUUUGAAGCUAGGUGGUUAAAGGAAGAGAUUGUCACUGAAAUUGUUAAGGCUUCUUGGGAAAAAGCAAAGUUAGCAGGUAUUGUCCCUUCACUAGUUGAUCGAAUGAGAGUCGUGCAUGCCGAUUUGCACGCUUGGGAUCGUGUAACUCUCAAGGGCCCGAAGCGGAGAAUUAAUAAAUUAAAAAAAUAG
This 516-nucleotide ribosomal RNA is filed under the name Triticum aestivum (bread wheat). RNAcentral's name for it is "partial small subunit ribosomal RNA". The record is from RNAcentral. Lineage: Eukaryota; Viridiplantae; Streptophyta; Magnoliopsida; Poales; Poaceae.